Molecule: ribosomal RNA, 253 nt
Filed under: uncultured bacterium
Lineage: Bacteria
Description: partial 16S ribosomal RNA
Rfam family: Bacterial small subunit ribosomal RNA
Source: RNAcentral
UACGGAGGGUGCGAGCGUUGUCCGGAAUCACUGGGCGUAAAGGGCGCGUAGGCGGCGCGGUAAGCGUGCGGUGAAAGUCCGGGGCUCAACCCCGGAUCGGCCGUGCGGACUGCCGGGCUCGAGCACUGUAGGGGCGGGUGGAACUCCGGGUGUAGCGGUGGAAUGCGUAGAGAUCCGGAAGAACACCGGUGGCGAAGGCGACUUCCUGGCCUGUUCUUGACGCUGAGGCGCGAAAGCUAGGGGAGCAAACGGG